UACGGAGGGGACUAGCGUUGUUCGGAAUUACUGGGCGUAAAGCGCACGUAGGCGGAUUGGAAAGUUGAGGGUGAAAUCCCAGGGCUCAACCCUGGAACUGCCUCCAAAACUACCAGUCUUGAGUUCGAGAGAGGUGAGUGGAAUUCCGAGUGUAGAGGUGAAAUUCGUAGAUAUUCGGAGGAACACCAGUGGCGAAGGCGGCUCACUGGCUCGAUACUGACGCUGAGGUGCGAAAGCAUGGGGAGCAAACAGG
RNAcentral lists this ribosomal RNA (253 nucleotides) under uncultured bacterium. RNAcentral describes it as "partial 16S ribosomal RNA". It matches the Rfam family "Bacterial small subunit ribosomal RNA", at positions 524 to 776 of the family's 1533-position model. The record is from RNAcentral.